GUGCUCACUUCGGCAGCACAUAUACUAAAAUUGGAACGAUACAGAGAAGAUUAGCAAUUAGCAUGGCCCCUGGGCAAGGAUGACAAGCAAAUUCAUGAAGUGUUCCAUAUUUUA
RNAcentral lists this small nuclear RNA (114 nucleotides) under Otolemur garnettii (small-eared galago). Lineage: Eukaryota; Metazoa; Chordata; Mammalia; Primates; Galagidae. The record is from RNAcentral.